Molecule: transfer RNA, 65 nt
Filed under: Yersinia mexicana
Lineage: Eukaryota; Metazoa; Arthropoda; Insecta; Mantodea; Amelidae
Description: tRNA-Cys
Source: RNAcentral
GGUCUUGUAUUCAUAUCAUGAUAUUAGAAUGCAAUUCUGAAGGUGUAGUUAAAAUACUAAGACUU